CACGGUAGGAUUCAUGACUGGGGUGAAGUCGUAACAAGGUAGCCGUAUCGGAAGGUGCGGCUGGAUCACCUCCUUUCUAGA
This 81-nucleotide ribosomal RNA is filed under the name Burkholderia multivorans. Its description in RNAcentral is "partial 16S ribosomal RNA". It matches the Rfam family "Bacterial small subunit ribosomal RNA", at positions 1458 to 1533 of the family's 1533-position model. Lineage: Bacteria; Pseudomonadati; Pseudomonadota; Betaproteobacteria; Burkholderiales; Burkholderiaceae. The record is from RNAcentral.